RNAcentral lists this non-coding RNA (26 nucleotides) under Rattus norvegicus (Norway rat). The record is from RNAcentral. Lineage: Eukaryota; Metazoa; Chordata; Mammalia; Rodentia; Muridae.
CAUCCUUCUCUUAAAAUGCCUUCCUG